GGGAAUUGCAAUGACAGUCAUGUUUCAGGAAAAGAAUUGUUCCAAAGAGGUUCUUCAUUUUACACUCAUUAAAUACAUAAGUAAGUUAUUUGAUUUAGGAAAUUUCAGAUCUGUUUUAUUGUGAUAUUUUAAGAACUACCAACUGGAGAGAUGGUGUAAGUCUGUGAACUAGUGACUAAUGAAUAUGCAUUAAAAUACAAAAUACUAUAAAAAGACUUUUAGCUCCUGGUGCUGUUUUUCCAAGGCAUUCCGUAAUUUUCCCCAAGGAAGGAAGGGUUUGAAAGGGGGGCACUAGGAAUGGCAAUUUGCAUAGAAACCAAUCUCACAGGACUUGUAGAUACAGAAGCAGGACCAAGAUCCAGAGACUACUGGACAGCUGGGACCAAGCCCCUCUCCACAGCUUUGGCUGAUGUGGCUGGCGAUGUCUUCAGAACAAUCUGCCUUACUAGCACGUGUUAGAGCUGCAAUGUGUUCUACACUUCUCCUUUCUGCAACAAUGGAGUUGAGGAACACUCUCUGCUCUUUUCCCCUUCCAGGUGAGACCAUGUAUGCCGGUGCAGUUACUUUGUUUUCAAUGCAGUCAGCUCUUACAGCAAUGAGCACACGGGACUCACACAGGUUUAAAAUUCCAAAGCUUGAAUUUGAGCCACAACGCACG
Molecule: long non-coding RNA, 658 nt
Filed under: Lepisosteus oculatus (spotted gar)
Lineage: Eukaryota; Metazoa; Chordata; Actinopteri; Semionotiformes; Lepisosteidae
Description: lncRNA (ENSLOCG00000021105.1)
Source: RNAcentral